This 433-nucleotide ribosomal RNA is filed under the name uncultured bacterium. Its description in RNAcentral is "partial 16S ribosomal RNA". It matches the Rfam family "Bacterial small subunit ribosomal RNA", at positions 29 to 507 of the family's 1533-position model. The record is from RNAcentral.
AACGAACGCUGGCGGCAUGCCUAACACAUGCAAGUCGAACGAGACCUUCGGGUCUAGUGGCGCACGGGUGCGUAACGCGUGGGAACCUGCCCUUAGGUUCGGAAUAACUCCCCGAAAGGGGUGCUAAUACCGGAUAAUGUCUUCGGACCAAAGAUUUAUCGCCUUUGGAUGGGCCCGCGUUGGAUUAGCUAGUUGGUAGGGUAAAAGCCUACCAAGGCGACGAUCCAUAGCUGGUCUGAGAGGAUGAUCAGCCACACUGGGACUGAGACACGGCCCAGACUCCUACGGGAGGCAGCAGUGGGGAAUAUUGGACAGUGGGGGAAAGCCUGAUCCAGCUAUGCCGGGUGAGUGAUGAAGGCCGUAGGGUUGUAAAGCUCUUUUACCCGGGAUGAUAAUGACAGUACCGGGAGAAUAAGCUCCGGCUAACUCCGUG